RNAcentral lists this small RNA (351 nucleotides) under Histoplasma capsulatum var. duboisii H88. RNAcentral describes it as "Histoplasma capsulatum H88 hypothetical RNA". The record is from RNAcentral. Lineage: Eukaryota; Fungi; Ascomycota; Eurotiomycetes; Onygenales; Ajellomycetaceae.
GCACCGUCACAUCACGACACAUAUGUAUAUGUGUAUGUAUAUGCAUAUGGAUGGAUGGAUGUAUCUGAAGGAAGGAAAACGGGCGUGGAGGACAUCAUAAUGUGAUGACCUCUGCAGCGACUUGCUGUAUUCAUGCAUGCAUCCUGCGAGGCUGUUCGUCUGUUAGUCGCCUCCAUUUGCAGCGACAAGAUCACUUCUCAGCAGUCAAGUCAAGAUGCUCGCCGCGAUACCGAUUGUCUGUGAUAUUUUCACAUGAGUUUGAGAGCAGUCAAAAAAAAAAAAAAAAACAAACAAACAAACACAAAAAAAUAUCAUUUCCCGAUAAUGUCCCCACAUAUCUGAAACCCGCCA